GCUGCGGUAGCUCAGUUGGAAUAGCAUUGAGACUCGUAAUCCAAGGGUCGCGGGUUCAAGUUGUGUACAAGCCCAUACUAAGCA
Potamilus streckersoni is the source of this 84-nucleotide non-coding RNA. The record is from the annotation of a GenBank genome assembly. NCBI's taxonomy places the organism in Eukaryota, Metazoa, Mollusca, Bivalvia, Unionida, Unionidae.